CUUAUGCUCUAAUAAAUUUGUUAGUCUCUAAGGUGCCACAAGUACUCCUUUUCUUUUUGCAAAUACAGACUAACACGGCUGCUACUCUGAAACCUGUUACAUAUCUCUAUGUUUGCUUAAAAAGUUAAUGAGUGCUCAGAUCCCAAUAAGAUUUAAAUAAAGAAAUAAAAAAUACACUACCUAACUGAAAUAUCAAGCUGUUACUAGCCAUCCUAUUAUUCAAGUAUAUUAUUUUGUAGCCGAAAUCUUAGGGCUGCAUUUGAUAGUAUUCAUUGAAGUUAAAAAAAAAAGCUAUACAUAUGGCAACAAUUGCAGUCUCUUUGGAACCUGUAUACAUUAAGAUGAUGAGUACAAUAAUCUUGAGAGUGGUUGUGUUUAGGUUUCAGUCUUAGUAGCCUGUUUCUGAACUGAAGACUUCUAAUUUCCCUUUCACUUUUUCUGUAAUAACCAUUUUAUCUUGCUCACUUUCUCCCCUUUUUAAUUAUUUCAGAUGAAGAACACACAAUGGAUUCCCAGCAAUCCCAGCAGAUAUCUGAUGAUGAGGAGUCUCCACAGGAGAAGUUUAAAUGUUCUUCACCAUAAAUAUUGAGGCAUGAUCAUAAUCCCAACAUAACCCAUGUAUGAGCUUCCUGGGAUCAAUGUGAUGGGCUGCUUCGAACAAGGAGAAUCGUGGGAUUUCCCAUUUUCUGCAGUUAGAAUAAUCACCUGAGCAAUGAGAGCUUCAUGGAUCAUGAGACAGAAGACUGGACAAUGAGAGUCUGGGUGCUCUCGUGGAGUAGGUAUAGAAGACGGUGUGUCAUGCUGAUUAUGAACAAACUUUUGGAUCUUGUAAAAAUAUUGUACAUCAUUUCAAAGAAGAAAAAACAAUUUCUAAACUACUGAUCUACAUUCUUGUAGUGCAGUCAACUGUUCCCUUCAACUCCAAGCUCUAAUUCUGCCAUUUGCUGCCGAAGGACACUAGCCUGAAGUAGACAUGGAAAUAUGAACUUUGGCUACAGCUAGAUGGACUGGGCCCUGAGCAAGGAGCAGAAACAAGGGCUGGGAUUCUCUAGGCUGCAUAGGGAAUUUCAGUGGGAAAUGGGCAUUUAGAUUUGAAAGGCACCUUUGAAAGUUUCAGUCUAAUCUCCUCCGAUGCUACUUCUGGAGCCAAGUCCUUCCAUUUUCCUCCAAGAGGGCUCAUUUUACCUCAUGCACCUUCGUGCUUUUCUUCUUUCUCUUCUCUAUUCCCCACCUUUGUUUCUGCCCUCACUGACUAUUUGAUUUCCCUCAUUUGCUCCCCCAUCUCUGUACAUUUCUCACUUUUUCCUUUCAUGAACACGCCUCAUCUCUGCUCCUGACCUGGUGUGUAUGGACUGCUCAUAGAGCUCUCUGUGCUAGUGGUGGCACUGCAAUAUGAAUUCAUUACACAGAGUCUCCAGCAUUAACCCAAGCCCUGGCUGCCCUCAGGAGAAAAGCACAGCCCUGAGCUACUUACUGAAAGGAGAGACUUUACCUCUUGUUCAUAGCAACGCAGCACAGACCCUGAGCCUGGAAGAACUACCUAUGCUGUCUCGCAGGCAGCCCUGUUUUGGACAGGUGAUAAAUGCAAAGUUUUGCUCUCUUGGAAUCGCAUAAUAUUGUCAAAAUGAACCUUCGGCUGCUGAAUGAGAUCCUGCAUCAUAACAUUAUCUUGAACAUGUUUUUAAGGGAGAAUAGAUAAGAUAAAGAAUAUUGACAGAGAGGGAAUAGAAAGGAGAAGAGAAGCAAAGUAUAUUGUUGUGAGAAGUAAACUGCUAUUUUUAAAUGCUCUCUCCCUGGACUAAAUCUCUCUGGCAUGCAUGUAUGAAGCUCCCAAUGAAGUCAAUGAAAGCACUAUAAUGUAUCAUAAGACUAAAUUUGGCCAGAACAUGCAAAAGAAAAUAAAGAGUAGAUGGAUUUGCUUUAAGACCCCAAAGAAAGCACCAUUCCCCCAUGCUCCAAAUGAGGUGGCACAAGGAAAAAAGGAAAAAAAAGAGAGAAUGAGAAAAAAAUGAAAUUAUCAUUUUAUGUAAAGAAAUCAAUACAAAUGUCAAGAUCUGAUUGAAUACGGGAGUAACUGUUCAUUACAUACAAAUUUGGAUUUUAAAAUGAAUGUUCAUAUUCCUGUUUUUUGGAUCACUGUUUGGAAAUAUAUUAGUGAGCCAGAUUAAUCAGGGAUAUUUGCAAAUAAUGAAUUUUAAAAUAAGUUUUAAUUUUAUAAGAGAAUACUCUUCAGAAGUAUUAGUUUAGGUUAUAAGCUCUUUGGGGCCAGAACCACCUUUUUAGUCUGUGUUUUUACAGCACCUAGCACAAUGGGCACCUGGUCCAUGACAUUCUCCUACAGAGUACUGCUUCGCACAUGUUUAUGAAUUCAAAAUCCACCAGUUUCCACUUUAGAACCCCAAUUCUGAAAGUCACAUUCACCUCCAGGGACAAAAAUGUAACAAAUGACCAAUGUUUCCAAUCAAAAUAUUGCAAAUUUUGAAUGAACAGUAACAAAUAUUUACUGUAAACUUAUCAAAACCAAGGUGCAGGUAAAAAAAAUAAUGUUUGCACCAUCCACUAAAGCAAUUGGCAUUCACCACUGGCAGACAUGAUACCAAACUAGAUGAACCACUGAUCAUGCUGAUAUGACAAUAUAUUUAUAAAUUACUGCUUGAUCCACUGAAAAGUGACACUUGACUAGUCUCAUCUACACGUUUAAUUUUAUAGUUCUGACAAUUUUACUUAAGAAUUAACUUCAACAUCUAAUGAUUAUGUCCACUCUUUUCCUCAGUUCCAUAUUAGAUCACACUGAUCAGAAUUGUUUCCUUCAGUUGUAAUACUACAAUUCAAUGAAGUUCCCAUGAACAUAAUAAGUACUAACUUUCCCAAGAAGUUGCAAGACUGAGGUUAAGAUAAGUUCUAUAGAGGGUGAACACCUCGAAGUUCAUUCCAUUUGUCAAAAUAUAGAGAGAGUACUCAUCCUGGCUACAACAUUAGCUUCCUGGUGCUAUCGCUCACCGGAGCUAAGAACAGGAAGAAAUAGAGCAAAUGUGAAAAAGAAUACAAGAGUUACUCCGAAAAGAGUCUCAGUUAAGCCACUGUGACUCUUUAAUCCACAUGAAAGAUUAGGUUGCUGCAAUGCUGGAAUACAAAACAUAAUAUGCAGUGUGUCUUUUCAUGGGGUCCAAAGGGAAAGAAUAUUAAAACUCCACAGGUAGCAAAGAUAGGUGAGACAUAUGGAGUCCCAGAGCUUUGAAAUAAAUCUUUUCAGAGGUUGAAUUAUUACUUUUGGAAGGACUAAAUCAGAGGUAUUAUCCAAGUCAAUAACGGAAGACAUACAAGACUAAGGUUUUGCCAAGCUGACGAGUUGAGAGACCGACUUAUUUUUCAGCUUUAUUACUGUUAUCUUGCAUGGAGUACAGAGCCCAUAGUCAGUCAGUAAUUAACCUCAGGGUACUGGCAGGCUUAGAGUAGAGAGUGAAGUCUGCCCUGUGCCACCUUUAAGCCUUCAGAUACAAUCGUCAAAUUCCAGACGCGUUAACUCUUAAAAGUAACUUAACUUCAACCAUCUGGAUUCUAAGUCAGGUACACAGAAACAUAUGGGAAAAUCUAUGUGAAUUUCACCCUCAUUCAUUACAUUGGGAAGAGUCUGUUUUACAUCUUGAGAAAGAUUUAGAUUGAAAAGAAAAUAUAGGGAUUGAUGCAUACCCCCUUGGAAACUGUGGAAAAUUUCCACAGGGCUCUUAUAUGGAGGCAUAAAUUGGCCUGAGGAGAGGUCACUUUCUAUUUUGUUUUCAUUUGUUAUAUUUUAUUAGUUAAAACUCCUCUUUAAAUUUGCAAUGCGCAAGUUGAUGUUGUUAAAUUGUAUCAGAUACUUAGGACUACAUCUUCAGCUAAUAUAAAUCAGAAUAUCUCCACUGAAGUCGAUGGAGCUAUGUUGAUUUUAUACCAGCUGAUGAUCUUUUCCUUAGGAUGAGUUUUUCCUCUACUUUUUUAGCAUUUUAACAACAUAAAUCAUAAGGGAUUCUAGUAAUCUGUAUUUCCAUUGAAAUAUCCAUGUAUUUAUAAUAUAAACACACUAUUAUGAUAUAUGUUUAACACAGGUUUUUUAAUCAUAAUACAGACCUGGAUUGCUAAUUAUGGUAGGAAAACCUGUGAAUGACAACUCUGGAAAAGGAAGUAAAUCUCUAAGUAAAUAGAGAAGCAUUUGCUUUUCACAGAUCUCUGAAGACCGGUCUUCACUGGAAAAUUUAACCAUUUUUUAAACAACUGAGUUGAGUGAUACAAUACUGACCUCAACAGCCAGCAUAAACGAGGAGAAGUCACAUUCAGCAUUAUGUCAGUUCUCCAUGGGUAAACACCGGGUUUACACAUGACUGGCUGACAUGAUACUGUACACAGGUCCUUAUCUAUAUGGCCAGUCAGCUCUGUGUUAGCCAACUUCACCAUUAAAGUUUAAACCACAAUAAAAUUUCCUAGUGAAGGUAAGGCAAGCAAGUAAAACCAGUGAUAGUUCAAGAAAAAAGGUAAAUGAGUUAUAAAUUAAAAUGUUCUAAUGUAAGAAUGUAUGGAAUUGUUAGCCAUAUUGUUUAAGUAUAAAUAUUUAUUAUAUAUUGAUAGGUAUUUAGUUUUGCCUUGGAGUGAAAGAUGAAUAGCGUAUGCCUGGAAGAUGGAAGAAGUUUACUGUGGCUUCACUGUUUGAAGUUGUUCCCAUUUGUUAGAUUGAGAAUACAAUACAUAUUGUAUACACAGCACAUUCUUACAGGAAUAGUGUUAGCAUCAUAACUGCAGUCUAAUAAAAAGGGGAGAAGAGUACAACAUUAAACUUAAUGACUAUUUGUA
Molecule: long non-coding RNA, 4824 nt
Organism: Dermochelys coriacea (leatherback sea turtle)
Lineage: Eukaryota; Metazoa; Chordata; Testudines; Dermochelyidae
Exons: 4
Source: RefSeq, a predicted model, not a curated record